Molecule: transfer RNA, 67 nt
Filed under: Nesomachilis australica
Lineage: Eukaryota; Metazoa; Arthropoda; Insecta; Archaeognatha; Meinertellidae
Description: tRNA-Phe
Source: RNAcentral
AUGAAGUAGUUUAAAAUAAAGCAUGGCUUUGAAGUUGCUAGGAUAGUAUGUUAUACUCGUAUGCAUA